GACGAACGCUGGCGGCGUGCUUAACACAUGCAAGUCGAACGGAAAGGCCCUGCUUUUGUGGGGUGCUCGAGUGUCGCACGGGUGUGUAACGCGUGAGUAACCUGCCCUUGACUUUGGGAUAACUUCAGGAAACUGGGGCGAUUACCGGGUAGGAUCUCUUGCUGCAUGGUGGUGGUUGGAAUGUUUCGGCGGUGGGGGAUGGACUCGCGGGUUAUCAGCUUGUUUGUGUGGUAGUUGCUUACCAAGGCUUUGACGGGUAGCCGGCCUGAGAGGGUUACCGGCGACAUUGGGACUGAGAUACGGACCAGACUGCUACGGGAGGCAGCAGUGGGGAAUAUUGCGCAAUGGGCGGAAGCCUGAUGCAGAAACGCCGCGUGCGGGAUGACGGCCUUCGGGUUGUAAACCGCUUUCGCCUGUGACGAAGCGUGAGUGACGGUAAUGGGUAAAGAAGCACCGGCUAACUACGUG
This 468-nucleotide ribosomal RNA is filed under the name uncultured bacterium. Its description in RNAcentral is "partial 16S ribosomal RNA". It matches the Rfam family "Bacterial small subunit ribosomal RNA", at positions 28 to 507 of the family's 1533-position model. The record is from RNAcentral.